This 546-nucleotide ribosomal RNA is filed under the name Priacanthus arenatus (Atlantic bigeye). Its description in RNAcentral is "partial 16S ribosomal RNA". It matches the Rfam family "Bacterial large subunit ribosomal RNA", at positions 1846 to 2586 of the family's 2925-position model. Lineage: Eukaryota; Metazoa; Chordata; Actinopteri; Priacanthiformes; Priacanthidae. The record is from RNAcentral.
UAAGAGGUCCUGCCUGCCCUGUGACAUUAUGUUUAACGGCCGCGGUAUUCUAACCGUGCAAAGGUAGCGCAAUCACUUGUCCUUUAAAUGAGGACCUGUAUGAAUGGCAUGACGAGGGCUAAGCUGUCUCCUUUUUCCAGUCAAUGAACUUGAUCUCCCCGUGCAGAAGCGGGGAUGCACCCAUAAGACGAGAAGACCCUGUGGAGCUUUAGACGCUAAGACAGAUCUGAUUAAAUUUGCUCAAGAACAAAGAGCAAAAACUAAAUUCGAACCCUGCCUGGAUGUCUUUGGUUGGGGCGACCGCGGAGCAACACAAAACCUCCACGAGGAACGGAAAAACCACUUCCUAAAACAAGAGCUACUGCUCGAGUUAACAGAAUUUCUGACCGCUAAGAUCCGGCACUGCCGAUCAACGGACCGAGUUACCCCAGGGAUAACAGCGCAAUCCCCUUCCAGAGACCGUAUCACCAAGGGGGUUUACGACCUCGAUGUUGGAUCAGGACAUCCUAGUGGUGCAGCCGCUACUAAGGGUUCGUUUGUUCAACG